RNAcentral lists this ribosomal RNA (470 nucleotides) under uncultured Azospirillum sp. RNAcentral's name for it is "bacterial SSU rRNA". It matches the Rfam family "Bacterial small subunit ribosomal RNA", at positions 916 to 1381 of the family's 1533-position model. Lineage: Bacteria; Pseudomonadati; Pseudomonadota; Alphaproteobacteria; Rhodospirillales; Azospirillaceae. The record is from RNAcentral.
GACGGGGCCCGCACAAGCGGUGGAGCAGUGUGGUUUAAUUCGAAGCAACGCGCAGAACCUUACCAGCCCUUGACAUCCGGUAUCGGUCCUCGAGAGAUUGAGGACUUCCCUUCGGGGAGGCCGAGACAGGUGCUGCAUGGCUGUCGUCAGCUCGUGUCGUGAGAUGUUGGGUUAAGUCCCGCAACGAGCGCAACCCCAUCGUCAGUUGCCAGCAUUCAGUUGGGCACUCUGGCGAAACCGCCGGCGCCAAGCCGGAGGAAGGCGGGGAUGACGUCAAGUCCUCAUGGCCCUUAUGGGCUGGGCUACACACGUGCUACAAUGGCGGUGACAGUGGGACGCGAAACCGCGAGGUGGAGCAAAUCCCCAAAAGCCGUCUCAGUUCGGAUUGCACUCUGCAACUCGAGUGCAUGAAGUUGGAAUCGCUAGUAAUCGCGGAUCAGCACGCCGCGGUGAAUACGUUCCCGGGCCUU